RNAcentral lists this small nucleolar RNA (107 nucleotides) under Leersia perrieri. Its description in RNAcentral is "Plant small nucleolar RNA R71". It matches the Rfam family "Plant small nucleolar RNA R71". Rfam says of the family: R71 is a member of the C/D box family of snoRNAs containing the C (UGAUGA) and D (CUGA) box motifs. Multiple nearly identical copies of this snoRNA have been identified in Arabidopsis, and it is thought to function as a 2'-O-ribose methylation guide for 18S ribosomal RNA. The record is from Rfam by way of RNAcentral. Lineage: Eukaryota; Viridiplantae; Streptophyta; Magnoliopsida; Poales; Poaceae.
AUCCCAUGAUGAGCACAGGCAGCGACAUAUUCCUGCAGGCCUUCCCACGCUUCAGAAAUUGACUCAUCCCUCGUCUGCUGGAAGCUUGAAAUUCAACCGCAAAGGGC